AGUGAACGCUGGCGGUAGGCCUAACACAUGCAAGUCGAACGGCAGCACAGUAAGAGCUUGCUCUUACGGGUGGCGAGUGGCGGACGGGUGAGGAAUACAUCGGAAUCUACUUUUUCGUGGGGGAUAACGUAGGGAAACUUACGCUAAUACCUCAUACGACCUACGGGUGAAAGCAGGGGAUCUUCGGACCUUGCGCGAUUGAAUGAGCCGAUGUCGGAUUAGCUAGUUGGCGGGGUAAAGGCCCACCAAGGCGACGAUCCGUAGCUGGUCUGAGAGGAUGAUCAGACACACUGGAACUGAGACACGGUCCAGACUCCUACGGGAGGCAGCAGUGGGGAAUAUUGGACAAUGGGCGCAAGCCUGAUCCAGCCAUACCGCGUGGGUGAAGAAGGCCUUCGGGUUGUAAAGCCCUUUUGUUGGGAAAGAAAAGCAGCAGGUUAAUACCCCGCUGUUCUGACGGUACCCAAAGAAUAAGCACCGGCUAACUUCGUG
RNAcentral lists this ribosomal RNA (492 nucleotides) under uncultured bacterium. Its description in RNAcentral is "partial 16S ribosomal RNA". It matches the Rfam family "Bacterial small subunit ribosomal RNA", at positions 29 to 507 of the family's 1533-position model. The record is from RNAcentral.